CUAUUUAGGCUUUCUUUAUUGCAAGUUCUGUUUAAUUAAGAUUUUCUUAUCCCCUGCCAUGUUAAUAGCUUGCUAGACCCUGCAAGAGCCUCCUGUAUGUGAUUAAAGUUCAAUUUAGAGAUUGAGAUACAAUUAUUUAAGGUAAAUUACAUCUAUUUGAAAGUGAAACCAGUUUUUUUUUUUUUUUUUUCAUGCAGGCUCUGUCAAUCAUAGCCAGGGGAGGUGUGGCUAGGGCUGCAUAAACAGAAACAAAGUGAUUUAACUCCUAAA
Pelobates cultripes (western spadefoot toad) is the source of this 270-nucleotide non-coding RNA. NCBI's taxonomy places the organism in Eukaryota, Metazoa, Chordata, Amphibia, Anura, Pelobatidae. The record is from the annotation of a GenBank genome assembly.